This is a long non-coding RNA of Bombyx mori (domestic silkworm), 567 nucleotides long. RefSeq lists it as uncharacterized. The record is from RefSeq and is a predicted model, not a curated record. The transcript is spliced from 2 exons. Lineage: Eukaryota; Metazoa; Arthropoda; Insecta; Lepidoptera; Bombycidae.
GCUGGUUCCCUUGUCACAGAAAGCUGCCAUUUUGUGUAUAUAUUUUGCGUUGUGAAAUUUUGGUACUUUGUGACUUAGAUACGGUUCUUAAUACUUUUAAGCAGUUUUAAACAGUUUUACAACAUGUAUUCCAACUUGAUAGUUAAAGAAUUAAAGGAGGAGUUGAAAAAACAUAGUGCAUCUUUACGAGGAAAAAAAGCGGAUCUUGUCGAAAGUUUCCAUCUUGCUGCAUCUCCUGAUGGUAUGUUGGGCGAAGAAACUAUAAUCAAAGUGAAAUGUCCAUACGCUAGCAGAAAACAUGAAAUUAAUAUAACAACGGUGCCUUACCCGGAAAAAUGCAACAGGAUAUUGUCUCUAAAAAAAACCUAGCCAUAUUAUUAUCAAAUCCAAGGACAGUUAUACUCCUCAGGCAGAACAUACUGCAACUUGGUCAUCUACAGCUACAAGGAUAAUUUUACAAAUAAUAUUUCAAGGAUACCUUAUAUGACAAUAUUUUCAAAUAAGCAUUGUAUGAAAAAUAUCUGUACUAUAACUGUGCACACUUCUCGAAAUAAAAAAUCAAUAAUA